CGGGAGGCAGCAGUGGGGGAAUAUUGCACAAUGGGGGAAACCCNGAUGCAGCCAUGCCGCGUGUGUGAAGAAGGCCUUCGGGUUGUAAAGCACUUUCAGUAGGGAGGAAAGGGUGUAACUUAAUACGUUAUAUCUGUGACGUUACCUACAGAAGAAGGACCGGCUAACUCCGUGCCAGCAGCCGCGGUAAUACGGAGGGUCCGAGCGUUAAUCGGAAUUACUGGGCGUAAAGCGUGCGCAGGCGGUUUGUUAAGCGAGAUGUGAAAGCCCUGGGCUCAACCUAGGAAUAGCAUUUCGAACUGGCGAACUAGAGUCUUGUAGAGGGGGGUAGAAUUCCAGGUGUAGCGGUGAAAUGCGUAGAGAUCUGGAGGAAUACCGGUGGCGAAGGCGGCCCCCUGGACAAAGACUGACGCUCAUGCACGAAAGCGUGGGGAGCAAACAGGAUUAGAUACCCUGGUAGUCCACGCCGUAAACGAUGUCUACUCGGAGUUUGGUGUCUUGAACACUGGGCUCUCAAGCUAACGCAUUAAGUAGACCGCCUGGGGAGUACGGCCGCAAGGUUAAAACUCAAAUGAAUUGACGGGGGCCCGCACAAGCGGUGGAGCAUGUGGUUUAAUUCGAUGCAACGCGAAGAACCUUACCUACUCUUGACAUCCAGAGAAUUCGCUAGAGAUAGCUUAGUGCCUUCGGGAACUNUGAGACAGGUGCUGCAUG
Molecule: ribosomal RNA, 714 nt
Filed under: Shewanella sp. S188
Lineage: Bacteria; Pseudomonadati; Pseudomonadota; Gammaproteobacteria; Alteromonadales; Shewanellaceae
Description: bacterial SSU rRNA
Rfam family: Bacterial small subunit ribosomal RNA
Source: RNAcentral